GAUGAACGCUAGCGGCAGGCCUAAUACAUGCAAGUCGAGGGAGAAUGUUGGAUUCGUCUGACAUGAAACCGGCGCACGGGUGCGUAACACGUAUGCAACCUACCUUUAACUGGGGUAUAGCUCAGAGAAAUCUGAAUUAAUCCCCCAUAAGACUACGACAUGGCAUCAUGAUGUAGUUAAAGCUCCGGCGGUUAAGGAUGGGCAUGCGGUACAUUAGCUAGUUGGUGAGGUAAUGGCUCACCAAGGCUACGAUGUAUAGGGGGUCUGAGAGGAUGAUCCCCCACACUGGUUCUGAGACACGGACCAGACUCCUACGGGAGGCAGCAGUAGGGAAUAUUGGUCAAUGGACGCAAGUCUGAACCAGCCAUGCCGCGUGAAGGAUGAAGGCCCUAUGGGUCGUAAACUUCUUUUAUUAGGGAAGAAAAAACGGGAUGCGUCCUGUACUGACGGUACUUAAUGAAUAAGGAUCGGCUAACUCCGUGCCAGCAGCCGCAGUAA
This 498-nucleotide ribosomal RNA is filed under the name uncultured bacterium. Its description in RNAcentral is "partial 16S ribosomal RNA". It matches the Rfam family "Bacterial small subunit ribosomal RNA", at positions 28 to 523 of the family's 1533-position model. The record is from RNAcentral.